This 150-nucleotide small RNA is filed under the name Pseudomonas paraeruginosa. RNAcentral's name for it is "PrrF2". It matches the Rfam family "PrrF RNA". From Rfam's summary of the family: PrrF RNA is a small RNA involved in iron homeostasis and is found exclusively in Pseudomonas species. Their expression is induced under iron limitation by the ferric uptake regulator (Fur) and they act to negatively regulate several genes including sodB and sdh. The record is from RNAcentral. Lineage: Bacteria; Pseudomonadati; Pseudomonadota; Gammaproteobacteria; Pseudomonadales; Pseudomonadaceae.
UUGACCCGAUAAUGAGAAUAGUUAUUAUUACACCACCUGGCCGCGAGGCCAGCAGGUAAGCUGAGAGACCCACGCAGUCGGACUCUUCAGAUUAUCUCCUCAUCAGGCUAAUCACGGUUUCGACCCGGCACUUUGCCGGGUCUUUUUUUG